GGAAAUUAAAUUAUUAAAAUGAGAAAUGAGCAUGCAGUAUUUGCUGAUAUAUAUCCAGUAUUGAUGAAUGGUAACAUUUUUAAUUUCUAAUUUUGGACAGUAACCAUUAUGGUACCAAUAUUGUGUAAACUGAAAUUUAAACCUUAGUAUAUUGCUUAUAAAGGUUUUGCAGAUUUUGGAAGAAAAAGAUACAGAAUAGGCUGGUCCAUCACUGCCACAUUAUUAAUCAUAUUACAAACACACCUAGUAUUAGAAAUAUUAUGUGGGAAUAUUCUGGUUUUUGGCUUGUUUUUAUCCUUUGUGUGUUUGAAGAGAGAAAUAGACUAGCAUGCUAAGACAGAGAUCUAUUGCACUGACUUCUCUGUUUCUUAUUUUCACGUUAUAUUAUGCAAAACAUUCCCCUCCACCACUUCAUUGCGCUCUCUCUCUCUCUCCCUCUCCCUCUCCCAGUGUCCUCUCCUCUCCUCCUCUCUGAAAUCCAAUCUGAGCUGUGCUCCACGUCUGAAUCAAAGAGGAAAAUCAGCUUGAUUUGGACUCCUGCUGAUCCAGAGGAUGUGUGUGCGUCUGGAUGUGCGUGCGCAUGCAGGGGGAGGGUCUGAGUCUAGCCCCGAUGCAGAGAUGGAUGCCAGUGGAGGUGUUUUGGCAUGGCUUUGGCGGAGCCUCGUUGCCAAGAGCGCAGGUCAGUGAGGCGUGGAGAGAACAUCCAAACAUGGCUUCUUUCCUCCACAGCCCUGGCAAGGCCAGCACCUCUGUUCUCUGCCCAAGCUACACAUGCUCCACAUUGGGAUCUGGACGCGCGGCCUGUGCGCUAACCGAAAAUCUGAUUUAUUGCCUUAAUGAUGCGAGUAAGUAUCGUCCCAUGACAGUUUUUUCCUGGAUUGUGUUAGCUUGUGGUUAACAGCUGGUUACAGCUGUACCAACUGAAGACUGGCAGCUGCAGUCACAACCGUCAUUUUUCAUUUCUGGGUCAAUGUAAUUGCUUUUUGUCUGACAUUAUUCAAAAAUACAUUAAAAAGGCAAUUCAUGCAUACAAUAACUUUAUAUACACUUCUAUGAUGAGCAUAUUUUUCAUUUUCAUGUUUUAUAUACAAGAUUCAAAGUUUUUGAAGGGUGUGAAAUCAGAAAUGCCAAGGUGAAACAACAGCAUGAAAGAAGAAAAAAAUAUCAUCAUUAAAAGGACGAAAUUAAUGAAAGAAAAAAAAAAGAAUCUUGUAUUAUUGUUCUUUAUAAAUAUUUUAGCAAUACUGCUGUACUACUCUUUACUAAAUAAAUAAACAUGUGGAGCCAUGUUAUCCAACAAGAUAAAAACUCAAAAAGGAAGUAACAUUAUGGAGAAGACCUCUGAAGACCCUCAUGACUGUGUGUCAUGGUUAAUAAGUAAAAAGUUGUAUGUUAUAAUGUGGUGCG
This is a long non-coding RNA of Cyprinus carpio carpio, 1407 nucleotides long. NCBI's taxonomy places the organism in Eukaryota, Metazoa, Chordata, Actinopteri, Cypriniformes, Cyprinidae. The record is from Ensembl.